GGGGAAUAUUGCGCAAUGGGGGAAACCCUGACGCAGCAAUACCGCGUGAGUGAAGAAGGUUUUCGGAUCGUAAAACUCUUUUAUUGGGGAAGAAGAAGUGACGGUACCCAAUGAAGAAGUCCCGGCUAACUACGUGCCAGCAGCCGCGGUAAUACGUAGGGGACAAGCGUUGUCCGGAAUCACUGGGCGUAAAGGGCGCGUAGGCGGUUUUAUAAGUCAGAUGUGAAAGGUACCGGCUCAACCGGUGACGUGCAUUUGAAACUGUAAGACUUGAGUACUGGAGAGGCAAGUGGAAUUCCUAGUGUAGCGGUGAAAUGCGUAGAUAUUAGGAGGAACACCGGUGGCGAAGGCGGCUUGCUGGACAGAUACUGACGCUGAGGUGCGAAAGCGUGGGGAGCGAAC
Molecule: ribosomal RNA, 402 nt
Filed under: uncultured bacterium
Lineage: Bacteria
Description: bacterial SSU rRNA
Rfam family: Bacterial small subunit ribosomal RNA
Source: RNAcentral